Molecule: unclassified non-coding RNA, 18 nt
Filed under: Mus musculus (house mouse)
Lineage: Eukaryota; Metazoa; Chordata; Mammalia; Rodentia; Muridae
Description: oocyte_clustered_small_RNA5712
Source: RNAcentral
CAGAGCCAGGCGCAGGGA